Molecule: ribosomal RNA, 400 nt
Filed under: phytoplankton environmental sample
Lineage: Eukaryota
Description: partial small subunit ribosomal RNA
Rfam family: Eukaryotic small subunit ribosomal RNA
Source: RNAcentral
AGCUCCAAUAGCGUAUAUUAAAGUUGCUGCAGUUAAAAAGCUCGUAGUUGGAUCUCGGGCUCGAGCUAUCGGUCUUCCUACCGGUUGUCACUGAUAGUCUCGGCCUAACUGCCGGUUUUCUACGGAUGCUCUUCGUUGAGUGUCCAUAGUAAUCGGAACGUUUACUUUGAAAAAAUUAGAGUGCUCAAAGCAGGCGUGAGCCUGAAUAAUGUUGCAUGGAAUAAUGAAAUAGGAUUUCGGUUCUAUUUUGUUGGUUUUCGGAACUCGAAAUAAUGAUAAAGAGGGACAGACGGGGGCAUUCGUAUUGCGCCGUUAGAGGUGAAAUUCUUGGAUCGGCGCAAGACGAACAACUGCGAAAGCAUUUGCCAAGAAUGUCUUCAUUAAUCAAGAACGAAAGUAC